AUUGAACGCUGGCGGCAUGCUUUACACAUGCAAGUCGAACGGUAACAGGGAGCUUGCUCCGCUGACGAGUGGCGAACGGGUGAGUAAUGCAUCGGAACGUACCCAGUCGUGGGGGGAUAACGUAGCGAAAGUUACGCUAAUACCGCAUACGUCCUGAGGGAGAAAAGCGGGGGACCGUAAGGCCUCGCGCGAUUGGAGCGGCCGAUGUCGGAUUAGCUAGUUGGUAGGGUAAAGGCCUACCAAGGCGACGAUCCGUAGCGGGUCUGAGAGGAUGAUCCGCCACACUGGGACUGAGACACGGCCCAGACUCCUACGGAGGCAGCAGUGGGGAAUUUUGGGACAAUGGGGGCAACCCUGAUCCAGCCAUGCCGCGUGAGUGAAGAAGGCC
This 388-nucleotide ribosomal RNA is filed under the name uncultured bacterium. Its description in RNAcentral is "bacterial SSU rRNA". It matches the Rfam family "Bacterial small subunit ribosomal RNA", at positions 29 to 416 of the family's 1533-position model. The record is from RNAcentral.